Molecule: long non-coding RNA, 877 nt
Organism: Oryzias melastigma (Indian medaka)
Lineage: Eukaryota; Metazoa; Chordata; Actinopteri; Beloniformes; Adrianichthyidae
Exons: 2
Source: RefSeq, a predicted model, not a curated record
CCAUACAAUUUGAAAGAUGUAAAAGUUAGCUUUUAUAUCCCUUAGCACCCCUUAGCUUUUAACUACAUUUGAUGGGGUGGAGGAACAAAAUCUAUUUAGUUUUAACUCGUUUUUAAGAUUUUAGGUAGAAAUUAGCUAGCAUAGUAAACUGACUUAGUUAAUAUUAAUAAUAAAGUUAAUAAGGAAAAAGGUCAAAUAAAAUGGGUGAUUUAAACGAACCAACAUAAAGUGAAACCAGGAAGAAAAGGAGACAAUUUAAAUUAGCAUCUGGAGGAAAAAAAACUCGUUCACGUGACCUAAAAACAAAAAGUCAUAUGUCAACAUUUUCUUUGGAAAACAUUUCGUUAUUAGUGGGACUCUCUGUCAAAAUGAUACGAAAUAUUUAAUAAAAUAAAAUAAAAAUAAAAAACUAUAUAACAAUUAACGGGAAAACGGGAGGGGGGUAGAACAAACAACUGAUUUGUCAUGACAAAAAGACAACAAAAAAAAGAAAGAAAAAAAGCAGUUCCGCGCGCGCAAAAUUAGCAAGAAAUCACAACCGGCUGACAAACUUCUCACCCGCUCGUCUCCUGAAUUCCUCCUGAGGUCUUCUGUGACCUCUUUCUGGCUGUCCGGCCCGGUUCGGACAGGGAAACCGGUCUGAAUCGAGGCUGUGUACCCACCUGAUCCUCAGAGGAGCUGAGCAGAUAAUCUCCAGUGGCGUGCAGAGACAGACCUGUCACACCUGCCUCGUGGGCUCGCACCACCUGCACGCAGUUCCCUCCGGUGACGGACCACACGCGGAUCGUGGUGUCAGGAGAGGCAGAGAAGACCACAGACUAGGCAGGAUGAGAAAAAUUCAUCACAUUUAGAUAAAGGGUGUUUUUUAGCUCACAGA